UAAAGGGUCCGUAGGCGGUUUAAUAAGUCAGUGGUGAAAGCCCAUCGCUCAACGGUGGAACGGCCAUUGAUACUGUUAAACUUGAAUUAUUAGGAAGUAACUAGAAUAUGUAGUGUAGCGGUGAAAUGCUUAGAGAUUACAUGGAAUACCAAUUGCGAAGGCAGGUUACUACUAAUGGAUUGACGCUGAUGGACGAAAGCGUGGGUAGCGAACAGGAUUAGAUACCCUGU
Molecule: ribosomal RNA, 230 nt
Filed under: uncultured bacterium
Lineage: Bacteria
Description: partial 16S ribosomal RNA
Rfam family: Bacterial small subunit ribosomal RNA
Source: RNAcentral